Molecule: ribosomal RNA, 207 nt
Filed under: uncultured Stenotrophomonas bacterium
Lineage: Bacteria; Pseudomonadati; Pseudomonadota; Gammaproteobacteria; Lysobacterales; Lysobacteraceae
Description: partial 16S ribosomal RNA
Rfam family: Bacterial small subunit ribosomal RNA
Source: RNAcentral
UGCGUAGGUGGUUGGUUAAGUCUGUCGUGAAAGCCCUGGGCUCAACCUGGGAACUGCGAUGGAAACUGGCUGACUAGAGUGUGGUAGAGGGUAGCGGAAUUCCUGGUGUAGCAGUGAAAUGCGUAGAUAUCAGGAGGAACAUCCAUGGCGAAGGCAGCUACCUGGGCCAACACUGACACUGAGGCACGAAAGCGUGGGGAGCAAACA